This 342-nucleotide unclassified non-coding RNA is filed under the name soil metagenome. Its description in RNAcentral is "partial contains 5.8S ribosomal RNA, internal transcribed spacer 2, and large subunit ribosomal RNA". The stretch from base 1 to 120 matches the Rfam family "5.8S ribosomal RNA", at positions 35 to 154 of the family's 154-position model. The record is from RNAcentral.
GACGAAGAACGCAGCGAAAUGCGAUAAGUAGUGUGAAUUGCAGAAUUCAGUGAAUCAUCGAAUCUUUGAACGCACAUUGCGCCCUUUGGUAUUCCAAAGGGCAUGCCUGUUCGAGCGUCAUUUGUACCCUCAAGCUUUGCUUGGUGUUGGGCGUCUUGUCUCUAGCUUUGCUGGAGACUCGCCUUAAAGUAAUUGGCAGCCGGCCUACUGGUUUCGGAGCGCAGCACAAGUCGCACUCUCUAUCAGCAAAGGUCUAGCAUCCAUUAAGCCUUUUUUUUCAACUUUUGACCUCGGAUCAGGUAGGGAUACCCGCUGAACUUAAGCAUAUCAAUAAGCGGAGGA